UUUACCCUCAUUCCAGUCAUGCAGAACAAUUCUAGCAGCAGCUUCAACAUCCACAAUACCACCCUUUUUCAGCCUACCCCUGACAGUAGCCACCUUUUGCAGAAAGUCAUCAACUGAUUCAAAGUUUGGUAUCUUGUAUAGGGUUACCAACAGUCUGGCCGGGCAAAGCUUGAGAAUUUCUUUCACUGGGUUAAUUGGAUCAUCUAGCUUUUCAAUCCUUUUGCAAUUGCGAAGAGCUAUAGAUGCAUCAUUCUCCCCAGACUUGAGCAAUACAACACCAGGACAAUCCA
RNAcentral lists this unclassified non-coding RNA (290 nucleotides) under Hevea brasiliensis (rubber tree). The record is from RNAcentral. Lineage: Eukaryota; Viridiplantae; Streptophyta; Magnoliopsida; Malpighiales; Euphorbiaceae.